This 319-nucleotide ribosomal RNA is filed under the name Bacillus toyonensis. Its description in RNAcentral is "bacterial LSU rRNA". It matches the Rfam family "Bacterial large subunit ribosomal RNA", at positions 687 to 1003 of the family's 2925-position model. Lineage: Bacteria; Bacillati; Bacillota; Bacilli; Caryophanales; Bacillaceae. The record is from RNAcentral.
AUAGGGCGUCUAGUCGCCGGGAAUAGACCCGAAACCGGGCAAUCUAUCCAUGGGCAGGUUGAAGGUUAGGUAACACUGACUGGAGGACCGAACCGACUACCGUUGAAAAGUUAGCGGAUGACCUGUGGAUCGGAGUGAAAGGCUAAUCAAGCUCGGAGAUAGCUGGUUCUCCUCGAAAGCUAUUUAGGUAGCGCCUCAUGUAUCACUGUAGGGGGUAGAGCACUGUUUCGGCUAGGGGGUCAUCCCGACUUACCAAACCGAUGCAAACUCCGAAUACCUACAAGUGCCGAGCAUGGGAGACACACGGCGGGUGCUAACG